Long non-coding RNA from Maniola jurtina (meadow brown), 255 nucleotides. RefSeq lists it as uncharacterized. The transcript has 3 exons. The record is from RefSeq and is a predicted model, not a curated record. Lineage: Eukaryota; Metazoa; Arthropoda; Insecta; Lepidoptera; Nymphalidae.
UGGUUACAUUCUGUAUGUAUAGUGCGCGACUGGUUGAGAUGGCAACCGGAGUGGGGAAACCCCGCACACCCCCUGCGCUAACCCGCUGCGGGUGUGCGUCCCGCCUCCUCAUACCCCGUUUGCCAUCUAAACCUGUCGCGUACUAUACGUGCAUGUACCAAAGGCUCAUUUCGCAAAGGCUUUUAAAUAAUAGCGACUUGUUAUGAUGCAAUAAAGUGCAAUUCAGCUACCACAGCACUGCAGUCUAAAGUUUAA